GAAAAAUUUCCAUGUGUUAAAUGCUCAAAAAAAAUCACUGUGAUUUGAAGAGAUUCUCAGACUGCCUGACAAAUAAGGCUCAUUUCCUUUAUGCCAUUCCCAGUUAUUGGCUGCUGUUCAGGAGGGCAUAUGUGUGUCACUUGAAGCUAGCUGUGCUCAGCAGGGCUGUAUGCAUGAAGGACCCCCCCCCACCCACGCGGGUGCUCAACAGGGAAGGUGGAAACCGGUCGUGGGAAAAUCUGAAGAGCACAUCUAAUUCGGGGGCUGUUCGGCAUUAACUGCGCUGCCUGCCUGUGCUGCAUCAUGAAAGCCCUUGUGUGAAGGUGUCCUGUCCUGCCCUUCGCUACUGGGGGCAGAUGUUUUCUGCUGGAUUACCUGCUUUGAACUGCAACAUGGCCUCGCCUCUCCCGACUCCGUGGGGAGAUGGGAAAGCAGUUGCGCUGUGUGACGUGUCCUGUAAAGCAGUCAGCUAAACACCAGCUGUAAUUGUAAAUGCGUCAGUAGGGGUUGGGAAGAAUAUUAAGCCUCAGGCUUUAGUCCUUAAGCCAGUCUCUAGUUGUCUGGGAUCGAGAUGGGGUGACAAAGGACUUUUUUUUGCGUUUUGUGGUCUGGUCCUGGUCUCGCUGUGCUGAGAUGGAGAGGUGGUCUCUGCAUGUCUGAGCAGCACAGAGCAAUUUCCAUAGCAGCUUGUGAUCAGCUUGUGUUUUAAUUCUUAGUGUUAAUAAUGUUAUUAAUUGUAGGGUGGCAGUGCAUAUGGGUUUCAGCCAAAUCAGGAUUCAAAAUUCUCUUGUGCUAGGUGCUGUACAGUCAUAAAUGCACGUUUCAUGCCCCAAAUGCUUUCUAAUAGCUCCUUUGGGGUAUUGUACUGAUAAGUGACACCUAUAUUUUCUUUUUUCUUUUGCUUAUUUCAGAGAGAUUUUUUGAAGAGCCAGGUGCUACACUAUUACCAGGAAUCAGGUGCCAGGGAGAGGAAGACGUGGCAGGCAGGGAGAACAUGCACAGUUCUACUCUGCGUGGGACCAUGACUCUUCUCUCCAAAGCUCUUUCUGAGUGAGUGCUGCUGGCAGGGAACUGUGGGCAGGGUCCAGGUCAGAGGCGAAAAAUCAAAGCUGUGCCUUAGUCCAUCACCAGCAGGCAUAAGGACAAUCCCUGCUCCUGGAGCUGAGCUUGGGCCUCUUCUCAAAGUCUGAACAGUGGCAAGAGCCCUUCUUGUACUACCCUGGCUAUGGCUGAGGCUAUGCCACCAAGUUAGCCACUGUUUGAGCUUAAUGCUCUGCUCCAUUCAUGUAUGCUCUUGAAGGGCACCCAGUCUUGAUGAAGACAUCCAGGGGUGGAGACUCGGUUGCCUUCAUUCACAAUGUGCUUCAGUGAUUAAUCACUCUCAUGAUGAAAAGUUGUAUUUUACUCCCAGUUUUAAUUUCUCCGGCUUCAGCUUCCAUCAAGUGAUCCAAGUUAUGCUUUUCCUUGCUAGAUUAAAUAGCACUUCAGGGCCUUCUUGUUCUCCUCCAGGGAAGUACUUGUACAUUGCAAUCACAUCACCUUUCUGUCUUCAUUUUGAUAUUUACUGAACAGAUUGUCCUCUUUAAGCCUUUCAAGUGCAAGGUGUAUUCUUUGUCUCUCAGGUCUUUGUGGAAACUCUUGUCUGCAUCUGCUUCAAAUCUUUGCAAAGGAAUUACUAAGACUUAGCUCAAUGUCACUGUCAUACGCUCCUCUUUCUGCUGCAGGACAUGUUUUUCUGUUAUAGCAUGACACUGGGACCUCAAGGUAGGAUUUCUGGACGUUGCGGCAGAGCCUUCCCUGAGUUGCUGCUCUAGGAUGAAGACUGUCAUCUUCUAAGCUUGUUCUGUAGUCUGUGUGUUUAGAUACGGUGCUUUGCACUGAAACCUAUUAAAAUGAAAAUUUCAUGGGCAGGCCUGGCUUCUCAGAUUCUCUCUGUUGUUCUGUAUGACUGCUUGUCUGUCUCAAUAUUUUCAUUCUACCCAUCUUUGUCAUCUGAAAAUUUGAUCAUCAAAGUUUUUGAAAGUACUUCUGGAUCACUGGUGAAAACAAUUGAGUAGUAUCAGAUCUAAUA
Long non-coding RNA from Aquila chrysaetos chrysaetos, 2071 nucleotides. RefSeq lists it as uncharacterized. NCBI's taxonomy places the organism in Eukaryota, Metazoa, Chordata, Aves, Accipitriformes, Accipitridae. The record is from RefSeq and is a predicted model, not a curated record. The transcript is spliced from 3 exons.